RNAcentral lists this ribosomal RNA (421 nucleotides) under uncultured organism. Its description in RNAcentral is "bacterial SSU rRNA". It matches the Rfam family "Bacterial small subunit ribosomal RNA", at positions 346 to 777 of the family's 1533-position model. The record is from RNAcentral.
GCGCAGCUGGCGCGAAUCUUCCACAAUGGACGAAAGUCUGAUGGAGCGACGCCGCGUGAUUGAUGAAGUCCCUCUGGGACGUAAAGAUCUUUUAUGAGGGAAGAAGUUUAUUGACGGUACCUCAUGAAUAAGAGGCUCCUAAUCUCGUGCCAGCAGGAGCGGUAAUACGAGAGCCUCGAGCGUUAUCCGGAAUUAUUGGGCGUAAAGGGUGCGUAGGUUGUUCUGUUAGUCUUUUGUCAAAGCCCCGAGCUUAACUUGGGAUAUGCGGAAGAAACGGCAGAACUUGAAAGUGCGAGAGGCGUACGGAACUCAUGGUGUAGGGGUGAAAUCCGUUGAUAUCAUGGGGAACACCAAAAUGCGAAGGCAGUACGCUGGCGCAUAUUUGACACUGAAGCACGAAAGACGUGGGUAGCGAAUGGGA